This 544-nucleotide ribosomal RNA is filed under the name uncultured Ascomycota. RNAcentral's name for it is "eukaryotic LSU rRNA". The stretch from base 167 to 320 matches the Rfam family "5.8S ribosomal RNA". Lineage: Eukaryota; Fungi; Ascomycota. The record is from RNAcentral.
GCUUCGGCCCCGACUCCCACCCCUUGUGUACCUUAACCUUUGUUGCUUUGGCGGGCCUGCGCGCCCUGAAAAAGCGCGCUGCCGGCUUCUGCUGGCUCGUGCCCGCCAGAGGCCCUCCAAACUCCUGUUUUUACCGGUGUCGUCUGAGCGUAAACAUGAAUAUUAAAACUUUCAACAACGGAUCUCUUGGUUCUGGCAUCGAUGAAGAACGCAGCGAAAUGCGAUAAGUAAUGUGAAUUGCAGAAUUCAGUGAAUCAUCGAAUCUUUGAACGCACAUUGCGCCCUUUGGUAUUCCGAAGGGCAUGCCUGUUCGAGCGUCAUUACACCCCUCAAGCUUUGCUUGGUAUUGGGCCUCCGUCCGCCAGCGGACGGGCCUCGAAAUCCUCGGCGGCGGCGCCCGGCUUUGAGCGUAGUAGAAAUUCUCAUCUCGCUUUGAAGGCCCGUGGCGUCUGCUUGCCGGACGACCCCCAAUCUUUCUUCUAAGGUUGACCUCGGAUCAGGUAGGGAUACCCGCUGAACUUAAGCAUAUCAAUAAGCGGAGGAA